Molecule: ribosomal RNA, 253 nt
Filed under: uncultured bacterium
Lineage: Bacteria
Description: partial 16S ribosomal RNA
Rfam family: Bacterial small subunit ribosomal RNA
Source: RNAcentral
GACAGAGGGGGCAAGCGUUGCUCGGAAUUACUGGGCGUAAAGGGCGCGUAGGCGGGAUGGCAAGUCGGUCGUGAAAUCCCUCGGCUCAACUGAGGAGCGUCGAUCGAAACUGCCGUUCUUGAGGGUUGCAGAGGAGACUGGAAUUCCAGGUGUAGCGGUGAAAUGCGUAGAUAUCUGGAGGAACACCGGUGGCGAAGGCGGCAUCCUGGACCGGUAUUGACGCUGAGGCGCGAAAGCCAGGGGAGCAAACGGG